RNAcentral lists this ribosomal RNA (455 nucleotides) under uncultured bacterium. RNAcentral's name for it is "bacterial SSU rRNA". It matches the Rfam family "Bacterial small subunit ribosomal RNA", at positions 26 to 507 of the family's 1533-position model. The record is from RNAcentral.
AGGACGAACGCUGGCGGCGUGCCUAACACAUGCAAGUCGAACGGAGCACUUCGGUGCUUAGUGGCGAACGGGUGAGUAACGCGUGAGAAACCUGCCUUUCAGUGGGGGACAACAGUUGGAAACGACUGCUAAUACCGCAUAACACUUUAGUACCGCAUGGUACAGAAGUCAAAGCUUAAUGUGCUGAAAGAUGGUCUCGCGUCUGAUUAGCUAGAUGGCGGGGUAACGGCCCACCAUGGCGACGAUCAGUAGCCGGUCUGAGAGGAUGAACGGCCACAUUGGGACUGAGAUACGGCCCAGACUCCUACGGGAGGCAGCAGUGGGGAAUAUUGGGCAAUGGGGGAAACCCUGACCCAGCAACGCCGCGUGAAGGAAGACGGUUUUCGGAUUGUAAACUUCUUUUAAGAGGGACGAUAAUGACGGUACCUCUUGAAUAAGCCACGGCUAACUACGUG